This is a long non-coding RNA of Gallus gallus (chicken), 445 nucleotides long. RefSeq lists it as uncharacterized. The record is from RefSeq and is a predicted model, not a curated record. The transcript is spliced from 2 exons. NCBI's taxonomy places the organism in Eukaryota, Metazoa, Chordata, Aves, Galliformes, Phasianidae.
AGAACUGCUUCCUUCCUCAUCUUCAUUGCUGGAUUCUUUACUGGAUUCACUGGCAGCAUCGUCUUCAUCCAGUUUGCGCUUAUGGCCCCUGGCAGGACACAGAGAUAAAGUCCGUGAAUCAAGAAUCAAGCUCAACCACCCUCACGGCACUAGCUGCUCAACUUGUGUGCUUCAUUCUUCCUCGCUACGUCUCUGAAGUAGCACUGCCGGUCUGAACAAGCCACAUGAAACAGGAAGCUGAUGUGCACCAUACUCUGCCGGAAGAAUCACAUUCCUGCUGGUUGUGAAAGAUCUCCAAGGAAAAUCUAACACUUCAACUGGGACAAAGCCACAGCAGAAGAAUUUGGAUUUGUGGAACUCUAAAAUCUCUUUUCUUUGCCAAAACAGAAUUUUAUAUCAGACAUAUACUUCUGAGGCAAAAAUAAAGUUGAGAUCUUGCACAGAA